GUGAGGAAUAUUGCGCAAUGGAGGCAACUCUGACGCAGCCAUGUCGCGUGCAGGAAGAAGGCGCUACGCGUUGUAAACUGCUUUUAACCGGGAAGAAACCCCAGGACGUGUCCUGGGUUGACGGUACCGGAGGAAUAAGCACCGGCUAACUUCGUGCCAGCAGCCGCGGUAAUACGAAGGGUGCAAGCGUUAUCCGGAUUCAUUGGGUUUAAAGGGUGCGUAGGCGGAGCGUUAAGUCAGUGGUGAAAUCCUGCAGCUUAACUGUAGACUUGCCAUUGAUACUGGCGCUCUUGAGUGCGCUUGAAGUGGGCGGAAUGUGCCGUGUAGCGGUGAAAUGCUUAGAUAUGGCACAGAACACCAAUUGCGAAGGCAGCUCACUAAGGCGAUACUGACGCUGAGGCACGAAAGCGUGGGGAUCGAACAGGAUUAGAAACCCUAGUAGUCC
This 445-nucleotide ribosomal RNA is filed under the name uncultured bacterium. RNAcentral's name for it is "partial 16S ribosomal RNA". It matches the Rfam family "Bacterial small subunit ribosomal RNA", at positions 354 to 796 of the family's 1533-position model. The record is from RNAcentral.